GAUAUUAAUAAAUUUAUUAAAGAUUAUUUUUAUUUAAUUAAAUUUUUAUUUAAAAUAUUUUAUUUUUUUUUUAUAAAUUUAGAUAAAAUUAUUAUAAUUAUAGUAAAUUAAGGUAUAGUGAUAGAAUAUUGAAAUAUAAUGAAAAUUUAAAUUUUUAAAAGAAAAUUUUAUUUAUUGUACCUUGUGUAUCAGGGUUUAUUAAUUAAAAAUUAUAAAAUUUAAUAUUCUCGAAUUUAAAAGAGCUAAGAAAUUAAAAAUUUUAUUGUAAAAUAAAUAUUUAAAAUAAUUUUUUAGUAAUGAAAUGUUAGUCGUUUUUAAAUUUAUCUAGUUUUUUAAGAAAUAAAUUUAAUUUAGUUACUUAUUGAUUUUAAAAUUAUUAAUAUAAUUUUAUAUUAUAAUAAAAUAAGUAAAUAAUAUUUUAAGGGAUAAGCUUUAAAAUAAAUUAUUAAAAAUAAUUAAAUAUUAUAAAAUUAAUAAGAAUGAAAGUAUCUAUUAUUUAGUGUAUUAUAACAAAUUUUAUUUAAAUUUAUAAUUUAUUUAUUAUUUUAAUUUUUUUAUUAAAUUAAUUAAUUUAAUAUUAUAAUUAAUGAAAUAAUGAUAGAAUUAGUAUAAUUUAAUGUUUAAAAUAAUUUUUUAUUAAGGUUAAUUUAAGGAAUUCGGCAAAUAUUUUUUUCACCUGUUUAUUAAAAACAUGUCUUUUUGAUAAUAAUUUAAAGUCCGACCUGCCCUAUGAUAAUUUAUUAAAUGGCCGCGAUAAUUUGAUCGUGCAAAGGUAGCAUAAUAAUUAGUUUCUUAAUUAGGAACUGGUAUGAAAGGUUAAAUGAAAAAAAAACUGUCUCAAUUUAAUUUAAAUUAAAAUUUUAUUUUUAAGUAAAAAAGCUUAAAUAAUUUUAAAAGACGAGAAGACCCUAUAGAGUUUUAUAUUUAUGAAUAAUUUUUUAUUUUAAGAAUUAAUAUUUAAAAUUGUUCAAUUAAAUAUUUGGUUGGGGUGAUCGAAAAAUUGUAUAAACUUUUUUUAUAAAUUUACCAUUAAUUUAUGAAUGUUUGAUCCAUAAUUUAUGAUUAAAAGAUUAAAUUACCUUAGGGAUAACAGCGUAAUUUUUUUUGAGAGUUCUUAUUGAAAAAAAAGUUUGCGACCUCGAUGUUGGAUUAAAAUUUACUUUUGGUGCAGAAGUUAAAAGGUUAGGUCUGUUCGACCUUUAAAAUUUUACAUGAUCUGAGUUUAAACCGGUGUAAGCCAGGUUGGUUUCUAUCUUUAAAAUAAAUUAAAUAUUUUAGUACGAAAGGAUUAAAUAUUUAUAAUAAUUAUUUAAAUUUGAAUGUUAUUAAAUUUAUAAUUACUUUGGCAGAAUAGUGUUU
RNAcentral lists this ribosomal RNA (1359 nucleotides) under Caccobius nigritulus. RNAcentral's name for it is "16S ribosomal RNA". The stretch from base 1086 to 1244 matches the Rfam family "Eukaryotic large subunit ribosomal RNA", at positions 2825 to 2984 of the family's 3401-position model. The record is from RNAcentral. Lineage: Eukaryota; Metazoa; Arthropoda; Insecta; Coleoptera; Scarabaeidae.